CCUACGGGAGGCAGCAGUGGGGAAUCUUGCGCAAUGCGCGAAAGCGUGACGCAGCAACGCCGCGUGGAGGAAGACGGCCUUCGGGUUGUAAACUCCUUUCAGUUGGGACGAAGGUUCACCGGUGAAUAGCCGGUUGGACCGACGGUACCUUCAGAAGAAGCCCCGGCUAACUACGUGCCAGCAGCCGCGGUAAUACGUAGGGGGCUAGCGUUGUCCGGAAUCAUUGGGCGUAAAGCGCGUGUAGGCGGCUCGAUAAGUCCGCUCUGAAAGCCCGGGGCUCAACCCCGGGAGGCGGGUGGAUACUGUCGAGCUCGAGCCCGGAAGAGGCAAGUGGAAUUCCCGGUGUAGCGGUGAAAUGCGCAGAUAUCGGGAGGAACACCAAUGGCGAAGGCAGCUUGCUGGGACGGUACUGACGCUGAGACGCGAAAGCGUGGGGAGCAAACAGGAUUAGAUACCCUGGUAGUCCACGCCGUAAACGAUGGACACUAGGUGUGGGGGGUGUCGACUCCCUCCGUGCCGAAGCUAACGCAUUAAGUGUCCCGCCUGGGGAGUACGGCCGCAAGGCUAAAACUCAAAGGAAUUGACGGGGGCCCGCACAAGCGGCGGAGCAUGCGGAUUAAUUCGAUGCAACGCGAAGAACCUUACCAAGGCCUGACAUGAACCGGUAAGACCUGGAAACAGGUCCCCCGCUUGCGGUCGGUUUACAGGUGGUGCAUGGUUGUCGUCAGCUCGUGUCGUGAGAUGUUGGGUUAAGUCCCGCAACGAGCGCAACCCUCGUUCUAUGUUGCCAGCACGUGAUGGUGGGGACUCAUAGGAGACUGCCGGGGUCAACUCGGAGGAAGGGGGGACGACGUCAAAUCAUCAUGCCCCUUAUGUCUUGGCUUCACGCAUGCUACAAUGGCCGGUACAAAGGGUUGCGAUACUGUGAGGUGGAGCUAAUCCCAAAAGCCGUCUUCAGUUUCGGAUUGGGGUCUGCACUCGACCCAUGAGUCGAGUCGCUAGUAUCGCAGAUCAGCACGC
RNAcentral lists this ribosomal RNA (1020 nucleotides) under uncultured bacterium. RNAcentral's name for it is "bacterial SSU rRNA". It matches the Rfam family "Bacterial small subunit ribosomal RNA", at positions 338 to 1357 of the family's 1533-position model. The record is from RNAcentral.